This 119-nucleotide ribosomal RNA is filed under the name Oncorhynchus mykiss (rainbow trout). Lineage: Eukaryota; Metazoa; Chordata; Actinopteri; Salmoniformes; Salmonidae. The record is from RNAcentral.
CUUUACGGCCACACCGGCCUGAGUACGCCUGAUCUCGUCCGAUCUCGGAAGCUAAGCAGGGUCGGGCCUGGUUAGUACUUGGAUGGGAGACCGCCUGGGAAUACCAGGUGCUGUAAGCU